RNAcentral lists this ribosomal RNA (301 nucleotides) under uncultured bacterium. RNAcentral describes it as "partial 16S ribosomal RNA". It matches the Rfam family "Bacterial small subunit ribosomal RNA", at positions 509 to 809 of the family's 1533-position model. The record is from RNAcentral.
CAGUAGCCGCGGGAAUACGAAGGGGGCUAGCGUUGUUCGGAUUUACUGGGCGUAAAGCGCACGUAGGCGGAUUCUUAAGUCAGAGGUGAAAUCCCAAGGCUCAACCUUGGAACUGCCUUUGAUACUGGGGAUCUUGAGUCCGGGAGAGGUGAGUGGAACUGCGAGUGUAGAGGUGAAAUUCGUAGAUAUUCGCAAGAACACCAGUGGCGAAGGCGGCUCACUGGCCCGGUACUGACGCUGAGGUGCGAAAGCGUGGGGAGCAAACAGGAUUAGAUACCCCCGUAGUCCCUGUCUCUUAUAA